UAGUGUUACAGCUCUUUUAGAAUUUGUCUAGCAGGUUUUCCGGUCCUCAUGGGGAAACGCCCCG
Molecule: small nuclear RNA, 64 nt
Organism: Microcebus murinus (gray mouse lemur)
Lineage: Eukaryota; Metazoa; Chordata; Mammalia; Primates; Cheirogaleidae
Gene: U7
Rfam family: U7 small nuclear RNA
About the family: Animal histone pre-mRNAs are spliced by a different mechanism than nuclear pre-mRNAs and self-splicing introns. This processing involves the U7 snRNP, which contains only one RNA species: U7.
Source: Ensembl